Molecule: ribosomal RNA, 783 nt
Filed under: uncultured bacterium
Lineage: Bacteria
Description: bacterial SSU rRNA
Rfam family: Bacterial small subunit ribosomal RNA
Source: RNAcentral
UCGAGCGGAGAUGAGGUGCUUGCACCUUAUCUUAGCGGCGGACGGGUGAGUAAUGCUUAGGAAUCUGCCUAUUAGUGGGGGACAACAUUCCGAAAGGAAUGCUAAUACCGCAUACGUCCUACGGGAGAAAGCAGGGGAUCUUCGGACCUUGCGCUAAUAGAUGAGCCUAAGUCGGAUUAGCUAGUUGGUGGGGUAAAGGCCUACCAAGGCGACGAUCUGUAGCGGGUCUGAGAGGAUGAUCCGCCACACUGGGACUGAGACACGGCCCAGACUCCUACGGGAGGCAGCAGUGGGGAAUAUUGGACAAUGGGGGGAACCCUGAUCCAGCCAUGCCGCGUGUGUGAAGAAGGCCUUAUGGUUGUAAAGCACUUUAAGCGAGGAGGAGGCUACUGAGACUAAUACUCUUGGAUAGUGGACGUUACUCGCAGAAUAAGCACCGGCUAACUCUGUGCCAGCAGCCGCGGUAAUACAGAGGGUGCGAGCGUUAAUCGGAUUUACUGGGCGUAAAGCGUGCGUAGGCGGCUUUUUAAGUCGGAUGUGAAAUCCCCGAGCUUAACUUGGGAAUUGCAUUCGAUACUGGGAAGCUAGAGUAUGGGAGAGGAUGGUAGAAUUCCAGGUGUAGCGGUGAAAUGCGUAGAGAUCUGGAGGAAUACCGAUGGCGAAGGCAGCCAUCUGGCCUAAUACUGACGCUGAGGUACGAAAGCAUGGGGAGCAAACAGGAUUAGAUACCCUGGUAGUCCAUGCCGUAAACGAUGUCUACUAGCCGUUGGGGCCUUUGAGGCU